Molecule: long non-coding RNA, 536 nt
Filed under: Ricinus communis (castor bean)
Lineage: Eukaryota; Viridiplantae; Streptophyta; Magnoliopsida; Malpighiales; Euphorbiaceae
Description: long non-coding RNA (RCOM_LNC000520)
Source: RNAcentral
CAACACAGACAAGGGUGGAGUUUACAGGUAUGAGGGGUCUAGAACCUGAAAAUUAUUUUGAGCUUCCCAUUAGGAAUGUUCAAUGCAAUGAAUUUCAGAGAUUAGAGGGCUUUUUAGGAAUGUUCAAUGCAAUGAAUUUCAGAGAUUAGAGGGCUUUUUCAAUUUAUUUAUUAAGACCCAGAAAUCUAAUAAGCUAAGUAGCUAGAAAAUUAAGAUUCAUUAACAUGCCUUUGAAUUCUCAAGUUCUUGCUGUUGAGGCUCAUACUAAUGGCGUGUUUCAUUGAAAUUCUUUACUAUCUUGUUUGGUGCUAUUGAGUACUAGAUAAACAAUAGUGAAUAUAAUAUCCCCGAUUCCCCAAAUAGAGGCAAGAUGUAUCUGAUAUCAAAUAAUAAAUCGUUUCUAAUCCUUUAAUGCGACUGCGACUAAAAUAUAUCUAAGUUUCUUAAUCUGUUUCCUAUUAAGUUUAUUUGGUUAGCUUAGAACAUUGGUAUGCCUUUUCUAUCUUCUUUUGUUGAUAAUCUUUUAACCUUUUUAA